AUUUAUUUGGGCACCGAGCC
This 20-nucleotide small nuclear RNA is filed under the name Arabidopsis thaliana (thale cress). RNAcentral's name for it is "snRNA_06805". Lineage: Eukaryota; Viridiplantae; Streptophyta; Magnoliopsida; Brassicales; Brassicaceae. The record is from RNAcentral.